GGGUUGUGAGGUUAAGCGACUAAGCGUACACGGUGGAUGCCCUGGCAGUCAGAGGCGAUGAAGGACGUGCUAAUCUGCGAUAAGCGUCGGUGAGGUGAUAUGAACCGUUAUAACCGGCGAUUUCCGAAUGGGGAAACCCAGUGUGUUUCGACACACUAUCAUUAACUGAAUCCAUAGGUUAAUGAGGCGAACCGGGGGAACUGAAACAUCUAAGUACCCCGAGGAAAAGAAAUCAACCGAGAUUCCCCCAGUAGCGGCGAGCGAACGGGGAGGAGCCCAGAGCCUGAAUCAGUGUGUGUGUUAGUGGAAGCGUCUGGAAAGGCGCGCGAUACAGGGUGACAGCCCCGUACACAAAAAUGCACAUGCUGUGAGCUCGAUGAGUAGGGCGGGACACGUGGUAUCCUGUCUGAAUAUGGGGGGACCAUCCUCCAAGGCUAAAUACUCCUGACUGACCGAUAGUGAACCAGUACCGUGAGGGAAAGGCGAAAAGAACCCCGGCGAGGGGAGUGAAAAAGAACCUGAAACCGUGUACGUACAAGCAGUGGGAGCCUCUUAAUGGGGUGACUGCGUACCUUUUGUAUAAUGGGUCAGCGACUUAUAUUCUGUAGCAAGGUUAACCGAAUAGGGGAGCCGAAGGGAAACCGAGUCUUAACUGGGCGUUAAGUUGCAGGGUAUAGACCCGAAACCCGGUGAUCUAGCCAUGGGCAGGUUGAAGGUUGGGUAACACUAACUGGAGGACCGAACCGACUAAUGUUGAAAAAUUAGCGGAUGACUUGUGGCUGGGGGUGAAAGGCCAAUCAAACCGGGAGAUAGCUGGUUCUCCCCGAAAGCUAUUUAGGUAGCGCCUCGUGAAUUCAUCUCCGGGGGUAGAGCACUGUUUCGGCAAGGGGGUCAUCCCGACUUACCAACCCGAUGCAAACUGCGAAUACCGGAGAAUGUUAUCACGGGAGACACACGGCGGGUGCUAACGUCCGUCGUGAAGAGGGAAACAACCCAGACCGCCAGCUAAGGUCCCAAAGUCAUGGUUAAGUGGGAAACGAUGUGGGAAGGCCCAGACAGCCAGGAUGUUGGCUUAGAAGCAGCCAUCAUUUAAAGAAAGCGUAAUAGCUCACUGGUCGAGUCGGCCUGCGCGGAAGAUGUAACGGGGCUAAACCAUGCACCGAAGCUGCGGCAGCGACACUAUGUGUUGUUGGGUAGGGGAGCGUUCUGUAAGCCUGUGAAGGUGUGCUGUGAGGCAUGCUGGAGGUAUCAGAAGUGCGAAUGCUGACAUAAGUAACGAUAAAGCGGGUGAAAAGCCCGCUCGCCGGAAGACCAAGGGUUCCUGUCCAACGUUAAUCGGGGCAGGGUGAGUCGACCCCUAAGGCGAGGCCGAAAGGCGUAGUCGAUGGGAAACAGGUUAAUAUUCCUGUACUUGGUGUUACUGCGAAGGGGGGACGGAGAAGGCUAUGUUGGCCGGGCGACGGUUGUCCCGGUUUAAGCGUGUAGGCUGGUUUUCCAGGCAAAUCCGGAAAACCAAGGCUGAGGCGUGAUGACGAGGCACUACGGUGCUGAAGCGACAAAUGCCCUGCUUCCAGGAAAAGCCUCUAAGCAUCAGGUAACAUCAAAUCGUACCCCAAACCGACACAGGUGGUCAGGUAGAGAAUACCAAGGCGCUUGAGAGAACUCGGGUGAAGGAACUAGGCAAAAUGGUGCCGUAACUUCGGGAGAAGGCACGCUGAUAUGUAGGUGAAGCGACUUGCUCGUGGAGCUGAAAUCAGUCGAAGAUACCAGCUGGCUGCAACUGUUUAUUAAAAACACAGCACUGUGCAAACACGAAAGUGGACGUAUACGGUGUGACGCCUGCCCGGUGCCGGAAGGUUAAUUGAUGGGGUUAGCGGUAACGCGAAGCUCUUGAUCGAAGCCCCGGUAAACGGCGGCCGUAACUAUAACGGUCCUAAGGUAGCGAAAUUCCUUGUCGGGUAAGUUCCGACCUGCACGAAUGGCGUAAUGAUGGCCAGGCUGUCUCCACCCGAGACUCAGUGAAAUUGAACUCGCUGUGAAGAUGCAGUGUACCCGCGGCAAGACGGAAAGACCCCGUGAACCUUUACUAUAGCUUGACACUGAACAUUGAGCCUUGAUGUGUAGGAUAGGUGGGAGGCUUUGAAGUGUGGACGCCAGUCUGCAUGGAGCCGACCUUGAAAUACCACCCUUUAAUGUUUGAUGUUCUAACGUGGGCCCCUAAUCGGGGUUGCGGACAGUGUCUGGUGGGUAGUUUGACUGGGGCGGUCUCCUCCUAAAGAGUAACGGAGGAGCACGAAGGUUGGCUAAUCCUGGUCGGACAUCAGGAGGUUAGUGCAAUGGCAUAAGCCAGCUUGACUGCGAGCGUGACGGCGCGAGCAGGUGCGAAAGCAGGUCAUAGUGAUCCGGUGGUUCUGAAUGGAAGGGCCAUCGCUCAACGGAUAAAAGGUACUCCGGGGAUAACAGGCUGAUACCGCCCAAGAGUUCAUAUCGACGGCGGUGUUUGGCACCUCGAUGUCGGCUCAUCACAUCCUGGGGCUGAAGUAGGUCCCAAGGGUAUGGCUGUUCGCCAUUUAAAGUGGUACGCGAGCUGGGUUUAGAACGUCGUGAGACAGUUCGGUCCCUAUCUGCCGUGGGCGCUGGAGAACUGAGGGGGGCUGCUCCUAGUACGAGAGGACCGGAGUGGACGCAUCACUGGUGUUCGGGUUGUCAUGCCAAUGGCACUGCCCGGUAGCUAAAUGCGGAAGAGAUAAGUGCUGAAAGCAUCUAAGCACGAAACUUGCCCCGAGAUGAGUUCUCCCUGACUCCUUGAGGGUCCUGAAGGAACGUUGAAGACGACGACGUUGAUAGGCCGGGUGUGUAAGCGCAGCGAUGCGUUGAGCUAACCGGUACUAAUGAACCGUGAGGCUUAACCUUACAACGCCGAAG
This 2925-nucleotide ribosomal RNA is filed under the name Escherichia coli. RNAcentral's name for it is "23S ribosomal RNA". It matches the Rfam family "Bacterial large subunit ribosomal RNA". Lineage: Bacteria; Pseudomonadati; Pseudomonadota; Gammaproteobacteria; Enterobacterales; Enterobacteriaceae. The record is from RNAcentral.